UGCUUUUAUUCCCUUCCUGUGCCAGUCAUUGAGAUUUGACUGUUGGCUAAACAGGCUCAUAACAUUUUUAUUAUAGAUACCUUAAUUUCUUGACAAUUAAUUGAAGGUAACAUGCUGGCAGAGCAGAUGACUACUUACACAAACUAGAGAUAACCAUUAAUUCAAGUAAAAUUAAAUCCUUUUUUUUCCAUUUUGCACAAACUUUAUUAUUUGACUAGGAUAAUUUUGUACAAAUGAAACAAGAAGCUAGAGCGUUGCAAAUAAUGUUGCUUUACCAAGAAAUAAUAUAUAAUUUUAAAACACCAAAAUUGAGAGUGGUUUGUACAGUAUACACUUUGGCAAAAUACCAAAUCCUUUAUCUUUUCUUUUCACAUGGCCUGCUACUAACAGUCCUUUCCAGUAAUUCUCAAUAUUUAGGCAACAUUAGCUUCAUGUGGGAACUUAUCUAAAACCCC
Molecule: long non-coding RNA, 455 nt
Filed under: Marmota monax (woodchuck)
Lineage: Eukaryota; Metazoa; Chordata; Mammalia; Rodentia; Sciuridae
Source: RNAcentral